This 254-nucleotide ribosomal RNA is filed under the name uncultured bacterium. RNAcentral's name for it is "partial 16S ribosomal RNA". It matches the Rfam family "Bacterial small subunit ribosomal RNA", at positions 524 to 776 of the family's 1533-position model. The record is from RNAcentral.
UACGGGGGGAGCAAGCGUUGUUCGGAUUUACUGGGCGUAAAGGGCGCGUAGGCGGUCAGCACAAGUCAGUUGUGAAAUCUCCGGGCUUAACUCGGAAAGGUCAACUGAUACUGUGCGACUAGAGUGCAGAAGGGGCAACUGGAAUUCUCGGUGUAGCGGUGAAAUGCGUAGAUAUCGAGAGGAACACCUGCGGCGAAGGCGGGUUGCUGGGCUGAUACUGACGCUGAUGCGCGAAAGCCAGGGGAGCGAACGGG